Small nucleolar RNA from Sinocyclocheilus anshuiensis, 120 nucleotides. The record is from Ensembl. NCBI's taxonomy places the organism in Eukaryota, Metazoa, Chordata, Actinopteri, Cypriniformes, Cyprinidae.
CCUGCCACUGUCCUAGUCCGUAAAAGGGGCUUAAAGUGGAGGCUUAUAGUGACCCGGCUUUUGGAAGCAGGGCGGUCCCAACCUGAUGGCUAACUCUGUGCCAAAAGGCCUGGAACAAAC